Molecule: ribosomal RNA, 478 nt
Filed under: Enterococcus hirae
Lineage: Bacteria; Bacillati; Bacillota; Bacilli; Lactobacillales; Enterococcaceae
Description: bacterial SSU rRNA
Rfam family: Bacterial small subunit ribosomal RNA
Source: RNAcentral
UGCAAGUCGAACGCUUCUUUUUCCACCGGAGCUUGCUCCACCGGAAAAAGAGGAGUGGCGAACGGGUGAGUAACACGUGGGUAACCUGCCCAUCAGAAGGGGAUAACACUUGGAAACAGGUGCUAAUACCGUAUAACAAUCGAAACCGCAUGGUUUUGAUUUGAAAGGCGCUUUCGGGUGUCGCUGAUGGAUGGACCCGCGGUGCAUUAGCUAGUUGGUGAGGUAACGGCUCACCAAGGCGACGAUGCAUAGCCGACCUGAGAGGGUGAUCGGCCACAUUGGGACUGAGACACGGCCCAAACUCCUACGGGAGGCAGCAGUAGGGAAUCUUCGGCAAUGGACGAAAGUCUGACCGAGCAACGCCGCGUGAGUGAAGAAGGUUUUCGGAUCGUAAAACUCUGUUGUUAGAGAAGAACAAGGAUGAGAGUAACUGUUCAUCCCUUGACGGUAUCUAACCAGAAAGCCACGGCUAACUACG